This 71-nucleotide transfer RNA is filed under the name Leptobrachella alpina. RNAcentral describes it as "tRNA-Thr". It matches the Rfam family "tRNA". Rfam says of the family: Transfer RNA (tRNA) molecules are approximately 80 nucleotides in length. Their secondary structure includes four short double-helical elements and three loops (D, anti-codon, and T loops). Lineage: Eukaryota; Metazoa; Chordata; Amphibia; Anura; Megophryidae. The record is from RNAcentral.
GUCACAGUAGCUAAAAACAAAGCGCUAGUCUUGUAAACUAGAGAAUGAAGAUUAAACCUCUUCCUGUGACA